CUUUACCCCAGUCGGACGCAAAACUCCUCAUUUUGGCUAACGAGGAAGUAAAGGACCGCAUCAAAAAGAAAGACAACACCACAACAGUUACAAAAACAGUGAGAGACAGCGGUCAAGGACUACAGACCGCCUGAAUGAAUGGUCCAUGCUGACUGUCUCAUCAGUACUGUGUCUCAGCGGUCUGGUUUUGGCUCGGUCCAUGACUCCUCAGUCUAUUGGACCUCUGGAAUCUGUCAGUGCCGAUCACAAGACCCCCAGGAACCACAGCAGGCCUACAGUCAUGCCCAUGCCAGGACAAG
This is a long non-coding RNA of Sphaeramia orbicularis (orbiculate cardinalfish), 299 nucleotides long. RefSeq lists it as uncharacterized. Lineage: Eukaryota; Metazoa; Chordata; Actinopteri; Kurtiformes; Apogonidae. The transcript is spliced from 3 exons. The record is from RefSeq and is a predicted model, not a curated record.